This is a long non-coding RNA of Mustela erminea (ermine), 343 nucleotides long. RefSeq lists it as uncharacterized. Lineage: Eukaryota; Metazoa; Chordata; Mammalia; Carnivora; Mustelidae. The transcript is spliced from 2 exons. The record is from RefSeq and is a predicted model, not a curated record.
UUCUCAACUGACUGAGCCACCCAGGCGCCCCCCCCAAACAAUGGGGCUUAGAGAGAUUCCACGUUGGUGACUAUAUCCACAUGCCAGGAGGUAUGACAGUACUCAUGAUAGCCAAAAGUGGUACCUACCAAACAGAUCUCACCAAAAGGAACAGAAGUCUGCUCUGUUGUUUCAGUUCUAGCUGCUAGCCUGCCAAGUCGGUGCUUUAUCUUUCCGUUAUGAUGAAAUUUACCACAAAUCACCCCAAACAACAAUGUUCUCCCCCAGUUCUUGCUUAUAUAAAUGUCGGUUGUCAUGACAACAAGAAGACUGCCCUUGAUCAUAUGGCAGAGCUUGCUAAGAA